GACGAACGCUGGCGGCGUGCUUAACACAUGCAAGUCGAACGGAAAGGCCCUGCUUGCAGGGUACUCGAGUGGCGAACGGGUGAGUAACACGUGGGUGAUCUGCCCUGCACUUCGGGAUAAGCCUGGGAAACUGGGUCUAAUACCGGAUAGGAGCCAUUUUUAGUGUGAUGGUUGGAAAGUUUUUUCGGUGUAGGAUGAGCUCGCGGCCUAUCAGCUUGUUGGUGGGGUAAUGGCCUACCAAGGCGGCGACGGGUAGCCGGCCUGAGAGGGUGGACGGCCAAGGGGGAAGGGAGAGAGGCCCAAGACUCCUCGGGGGGGAAGGAGGGGGGAUUUGUGAAAAGGGGGCGAAAGCUGGAGGCGGGGAGGGGGGGGGGGGAAGGAGGGCUUGGGGGUUGUAACCUCUUUCGGCAGGGGAAAAGGUUUUUUGGAGGGGACCCAAAAAAAAAGGCGCGGAGAAAGACGGGC
RNAcentral lists this ribosomal RNA (465 nucleotides) under uncultured bacterium. RNAcentral's name for it is "partial 16S ribosomal RNA". The stretch from base 20 to 328 matches the Rfam family "Bacterial small subunit ribosomal RNA", at positions 47 to 358 of the family's 1533-position model. The record is from RNAcentral.